GAUGGACGCUGGCGGCGUGCCUAAUACAUGCAAGUCGAGCGAACAGACGAGGAGCUUGCUCCUCUGACGUUAGCGGCGGACGGGUGAGUAACACGUGGAUAACCUACCUAUAAGACUGGGAUAACUUCGGGAAACCGGAGCUAAUACCGGAUAAUAUAUUGAACCGCAUGGUUCAAUAGUGAAAGACGGUUUUGCUGUCACUUAUAGAUGGAUCCGCGCCGCAUUAGCUAGUUGGUAAGGUAACGGCUUACCAAGGCAACGAUGCGUAGCCGACCUGAGAGGGUGGUCGGCCACACUGGAACUGAGACACGGUCCAGACUCCUACGGGAGGCAGCAGUAGGGAAUCUUCCGCAAUGGGCGAAAGCCUGACGGAGCAACGCCGCGUGAGUGAUGAAGGUCUUCGGAUCGUAAAACUCUGUUAUUAGGGAAGAACCAAUGUGGAAGUAACUAUGCACGUCUUGACGGUACCUAAUCAGAAAGCCACGGCUAACUACGUG
Molecule: ribosomal RNA, 497 nt
Filed under: uncultured bacterium
Lineage: Bacteria
Description: partial 16S ribosomal RNA
Rfam family: Bacterial small subunit ribosomal RNA
Source: RNAcentral